Molecule: transfer RNA, 71 nt
Filed under: Stegodyphus mimosarum
Lineage: Eukaryota; Metazoa; Arthropoda; Arachnida; Araneae; Eresidae
Rfam family: tRNA
About the family: Transfer RNA (tRNA) molecules are approximately 80 nucleotides in length. Their secondary structure includes four short double-helical elements and three loops (D, anti-codon, and T loops).
Source: Rfam by way of RNAcentral
GCCUUCGUGGUGUAACGGUAGCACACUCGUUGCGAAUUCGAGAAGCUCAGGUUCGAGUCCCGGCUAGGGCU